Molecule: ribosomal RNA, 207 nt
Filed under: uncultured bacterium
Lineage: Bacteria
Description: partial 16S ribosomal RNA
Rfam family: Bacterial small subunit ribosomal RNA
Source: RNAcentral
CGCGUAGGUGGCCGAUUAAGUCGGGGGUGAAAGCCUGUGGCUCAACCACAGAAUUGCCUUCGAUACUGGUUGGCUUGAGACCGGAAGAGGACAGCGGAACUGCGAGUGUAGAGGUGAAAUUCGUAGAUAUUCGGAAGAACACCAGUGGCGAAGGCGACACACUGGCUCAUUACUGACGCUGAGGCUCGAAAGCGUGGGGAGCAAACA